This is a long non-coding RNA of Myotis daubentonii (Daubenton's bat), 4937 nucleotides long. RefSeq lists it as uncharacterized. NCBI's taxonomy places the organism in Eukaryota, Metazoa, Chordata, Mammalia, Chiroptera, Vespertilionidae. The record is from RefSeq and is a predicted model, not a curated record.
AACGUGGCCCUCCUGCCGCUGCAGCCUCGCCCGCCCCGCCCCGGGCCGUCCCUUCCGCCUCUUUCUCUCCACCGCCCCUGGGAUUUGUAGUUCCGGCUGUGCCGCCGCCCCUCCCGCCUCCGAGCGGCUCCCGGCAGGAACAACACAAUGGAGCUGGAGUGGUGGGAGUGCCCAUGAGGCGAUUUACCUGGGGUUGCCCUUCUGCAGAUGGCCCUGGGUGUGUCCACCUGAGAUGUCUCAGAAGGUAUUGUGUGCUGGCCAGUAGAGUGAAACAACAAAGAGAUCCUUUGGUGGCAACUGAAGAACAGUAGCACUGUAAUCACCAGGGACCAGCAGGAUGCCAGGUUCUUGGACCUAACCCGCCUUCAUGGAUGGUCAGUCAGUGUCACUCAAACUAGGUUCUGCUAACUGUAAACUGUCUUUGGUAUUCUCUACAAGUAAGGAAGAAAGGAAACGAACACUUCCUGAGGCCCAGCUCUGUGCCUGCACCAUGGGCAAGAGGUUUGACUGGGCCUCCUGGUUUCCACCGCCAUCUUGUCUCCAGAAGGCAUCAGCAUCUCAGGAUCCAGUUCAAGAACCCAGAAGCUUCAUCUCUUCCCAGGACCAGCUGCUGAGCCCAAUACCCAGAGCUGGGCAGGAAGAGCCCAGGCCCUUGAAUAGCGAUGACAUAAGUUAGCCCUCCUUCCCCCAGCCAAGCUCUGCUUUGGAGCCCGUGAGGUGACCAGGCCCCCAGUCCUGCUGGCAUUUCCUCUUGUAUUCAGUGGCUCAUUAAGGGGUGGAGGGCUUGGGUGGGGGCCAGGAGAAAAGGGAACAGCUAUUGGAAUGAAAGGCAGGCGCCAGUGACUCUUUGGUUUCCAGGCUGGAAGCAUUUGUAGAGAGGCAGCACUUCAUUUUCAAAUUGGGAGGUGGAAGAGGUCAUAGCAGGAUGACAUUGGAGGGACUUCCUUACUGCAGCCUAUGGAGAGGACCCCAGACCCUAGAGCGGCUAAAAAGACAACCUCCUACCCUGUGUUGUAUGCGGUUCCCCAUUCCAUGGGUCCUAUUAUAUUUCCCCGGCGAUCACAGAUGGUGUCUGCAUACUCUCCCUGCUCCCUGUAAGCCCAGGAAUUCCUUACUCCCGCCACACCAUCUGGAAUGCCUUCCUGGCUACUGCGACUGCCUUUGGUCUUAAAUGGCAUCAUGACAUUGGAAUUGCUUUCUAAUCUGGGGGUGGAUGUGAGUGGAAAGUAAGGUAAGCCAAACCAAGCAAAGAAGCACAAGUUAGAAAUGAACCCUAAGUGAUGCCUAAUUGCUCAAGCAAGAACCUGGGUGGAUAUGGUCCAGCUUGGUAUGGCCUGGGGCUGAGUGGGCCACUUCUGCACAGGUCUUCCCUCUGCCUGUGUCUCCCACAGCUCUCACUCCCUGUUGCCCUACAAGGUCCCUGGUCUGUGCCUCCACGCUACCUCCACAGCCCCCAUAGGUUGAGCAGCUUAGCCAGAGGCACCUAGGGAAGACUCCCCACCGACGUCUGAACAGCUGCUGGUAUUGAAGGUGGCUUCCCUUCCACCCUUCAACUUAUCAGCUUCUCACAGCCCUUACACAGGGCUCCAGAAGUGGGGUGGGCAGCUCAUACCUUGAUUUCCCACUCCCUUUCCACUCUCAGGCCUCCUCCUUCACCCUAGGGGAGCUGAGAGAACAGAGAGGAGGGAUGGUCCCUGGAGAAGACCUCCCCAGUGGGGCAGAGGUUGUCUGCUGGCCUGAAAUUUGGGAAGUAGUGGGGACAGGCAGUGGGGCUGUCAGGAGGGAAGUUUCUGUGUUUUGCCCUCUCUUUUUAAAAAAUGUACUUGGGACACUGGGAGAAAUGGGGGGAAGGGUGCAGACAGGAAAGGGGGGUUGGAAACAACCCAAAACGUAGCAACUGUCCAUCUGCUUGCUGCAUUCCUAAUGUGGGACUCACUCUUGUCUGCUCCCCAUAGCAAAGGAAAGAGGAGGGGCACCGCUGGCAGCCUCAAAGACGCCAGAUAGACCAGUGGUUCUCAACCUAUGGGUCGCGACCCCUUUGGCGGUCGAACAACCCUUUCACAGGGGUCGCCUAAGACCAUCCUGCAUAUCAGAUAUUUACAUUAUGAUUCAUAAGAGUAGCAACAUUACAGUUAUGAAGUAGCAACGAAAAUAAUUUUAUGGUUGGCUCACAACAUGAGGAACCGUAUUUAAAGGGCCAGAAGGUUGAGAACCACUGAGAAAGACUAUUUAGACCUGGGCCUUUGGGGUGGAGAGGGAGGUUGGGGAGGGUCUUGGUUGCAAUGGCCCUAAGAAACCUGCACAAAUUUGACUUGUUACACAGAAGCCAGGGACUUUUAAGAGCCCCCCCACCCUGCCCUGCCAAUUGACCUAUAUUUCCCUGGCAGGGAUAGUCAACCCCAAACAGGUCCCCUCCUGUUCUACAAUGACUUUGGCAUACAAACACCAACGUAGCUGUAAAAGAGUUAACAUUCUGUGAACAACCCUGGUGGAAUUAGCAGGUUAGUCUCAUGGAUUCAGAUCAGCCUUGGGGACCUCCAAGCCUCACGAGGACUUUUGGGAGCAAGCCCUGCCUUUGCCUCCACCGCUGUGGUGUGAAAGCAGCCCUAAGCCUGAGUAUGGCUGUCUUCCAAUCAAACAUUAUGUAGCGACACUCACAUUUGAAUUUCAUAUGAUUUUCAUGUGUCGCGAAAUACUAACCAUCCUUUCCUUGACUGUUCUUUUAAAAAUUAUUAUUAAUAUGAAAUUAUUAUUAUCAUGAAAUCUAUCCUCUUAACAAAUUUUAAGCGUACCAUACAUUAUUGUCCACUGUAAGUCUUUUCUUUUUUUUUUUUUAUAACACUUUAAAAAAUGUAAAAGCUAUUCUUAGUUCUCAAGCCAUACAAAAAUGGAUGGUGGGCGAGCAUUGGCCCGUGGGCCGUAGUUUGCCAGCCUCUGGUCUAGAAAACUCGGUCCAGGGCAGCCAGCUUGGAAGAUUCUGUUUCAGCAUUAGCUGCCAAGGAGCAAGGACAAUAAAAUCUGUGUCUGUGAACCCGAGAGCUCCUAGAGAGGAAUCCCUAAUCAUUUCUGUUCUUUCUCACUCUGUCAAUGAAGCCCCCCCUUUUUUCAGUUCCACAUGAAAAGAGUCAAUGAAGUUUCACUUUGUAUUGUGUAAGAGUGCAAUAGAAGUGUACCAGCAAUUCUGUGGCAGGCAGAGCAGUGCCAAAAGGAGACGCUGGGAACCAACAGCCUUGGAGCUGUUCAGGGCAGAGUCCGGUCCUACCAUUUCACAGAGUGCAGUUCCCCAAUCUGCCAUGGUGCUCGCCGAGGCAGGCGGAUGGGUCCUUGCUCAGGAAGGAGACCAGCAUUUGGUCUUCAUACCUCUGCCUGCUCUUUAGGAGGGUAUAGGACUGGAGAAAUCCUCUUGUAUGCUCAAGCCCAUCUCCCCUGCUCCCUGCAGGCACCGUGGUUUCCAACAUGGCACCGUGAGCCUUGAGUUCCUUUUGGGCGCACAUUUCCUGACCUCAGCGCCUUGAUUCCUUUUCCUUUUCCUUCAAGAAGAUAAGGCCGUCCGUCGCUGUUCGCAAAGCAGGUUUGAAAUGGAAAUCUCCCUUUACCUUUUCUACCAUGACCUGUUGGCUCCUCGUCUUCCACUGGUGUCAGAGGCUGGCAUCCUCCAAGCACACCCACUCAGCUGGGCCGCACCUUGAGCGGAUUUGCAUUACUGGGUUCAGCUCCACGUUACUAGGAGUCUCUUUGGAAAUGGUUGGCUGGUCGCCACUGAGCCGCUUGGAUUUCCGUCAAUGAUGUACCUGUGCAGAGAAUCCUAGCUGAUAGGAGGGAGGGAUUGGGCCCGUGAGCACCUGGGGCUGGAGCUUCCUGCCACCCCUCAGAUGCUCUUCCACAUGGACAAACAGGUGUUCUUGUGGGCAGGAGCCUCAUAUCGCAGGUUAAUUUGUUUCUUUAAGGUUGUUCUUGUCAAGCCCAGAACAACUCAACAGCCACCCCCCACUUUUAAAAAAAGCUCUUAAGACCAUCUUUACCAUCUUUACAUUCAGCAACACUGAGCAAAUAGUUCUCUGAAGCCACCUCCUGCUUAAAGCUUCUGGAUCUCAGCUCAUGCUGUUCCAGGCUGUUCCCUCUGCCUAGAAUGCAUCACUUCACAAAGAAAGCCUUCCCUUACCCCGCCCCUGCCAGCAGAACUAAAUGCCCUUCCUCUCUGCUCCCUCUACAUAGCUGAUCUUGCACUUCUCCCAUACCUAGCACAAGCCCUUCAUCGGCCACAUUACAAGGUAAAACCCACCAUAAGCUAAUCACAGCUGGCGUAAAGCUGGACAAAAAAGUCAACAGUGAUUAAGAAGAGCACUUGCAAUACGGUUUUACGGCCUCUAGCCUUAAUGAUGAGCUUCCCUAGAGGUGUACAGCGGGCCUUUAAAAAGUAGCCUCUGUGGAAAGCAGUGUGGCGUUUCCUCAGAAAGUUAAAAGUGGAACUCCCAUUUGACCCAGUAAUCCCAAUUCUAGGAAUAUAUUCCAAGAAAACAGAAACACCAAUCAAAAAGGAUAUAUGCACCCCUAUGUUCAUAGCAGCACAAUUUACAAUAGCUAAGAUUUGGAAACAACCUAAGUGCCCAUUAGCAGAUGAGUGGACUAGAAAACUGUGGUACAGCUACACAAUGGAAUACUACGCUGCUGUAAAAAAGAAGGAAUUCUUACCAUUUGCAACAGCAUGGAUGGAACUGGAGAGCAUUAUUCUAAGCGAAAUAAGCCAGUCAGAGAAAGAUAAAUAUCAUAUGAUCUCACUCAUUUGUGGAAUAUAAUGAACAACAUAAACUGAUGAACAAAAAUAGAACCAGAGUCAUAGAAGCAUGGAACAGACUGUCCAACCUAUGACGGAAGGCAGGGGUGAGGGGGUAAGAGAUCAACCAAAGGACUUGUAUGCAUGCAUAUGAGCAUAACCA